GUUCUCUGCUCUCAUCAUCAUGAAGCGCAUGAACUUGUGGCACAGGAUCUUCUCAAUCUCAUCAGCCUGAUGGAGCCAAUCAGAGCACCAUGUAUGAGAAAGACUCUACUUAACACACAACAUCAAGAUAAUGGGAAGGUGUCAUUGAAAGCGAGAAGGAGGGUCAUAACCCCUGACCUGCUUCACAGCAAUGCUGACUCGCACAGAGUUGAUGGAGCCCUCGAUUAGGACCUUCUCCUUGUCAUUGCGGCUGAUUACCACAGGCUGAAGUAAGAGCUCUUUACUACUCCUGUAAUGACAAAAGACAGUGUGUCACAAAUAACACGAAUGAUAUCAUUAUUAGAAGAGCACGAGAGAGCUCACUCACCUGACCUCCACCUCUGGCUUGUUGUGGCGCUCCACCACCUGAGAGGAGAAGUUCUCCAGGCAGAGGGCAGCCUGCAGUGUGGCACGCACAGCAUUCAGGUAUGGGCGUAGUGUCGCUGUCUGAGGGAGGGGGUGACGACAUUAACUUUGAAACACUUCUAUUACAGAUCAAUGAUUACAACAAUCUUCCAGAAAACCCCCGUUCUCAGGACACACAACUGAGGCUUUACCUUUACGUCUCAGACAGACUGCUGUCCAGACCUCUAGAGAGGAAGUACCAUGUUACUACAAGCAUAUUUAGCCUCCUUGUUCUUUUGCAUAGUAUUGAACAAUCAAUGAAUGUUGUGGUGGUGUCAGCGCGUUCUAGGUGUAAUAUAAUCAAAGGGAUCGGAUCAGACAAAUAUACAAGUCCAACUGGUUUGAUAACAGCUUUGAUCCAGAUUUUUUUUAGAGCGCACAGUCCCGCCCACAUUAAUCUGCAACUAUCAAACCACCAGAAUAAAGAUACUGUUUUAACCUAGGAAUUUGAAAACAGAGAUUUGCAUCGGUAUUUAUGACUAAAGUCACUCACCAUUUCUCAGUUGUUCUGGGUUUGAAGGCGGAAGUUAUAGUGCCACGCCUGCAUCCAACAUCUCUUCCGCAAAUUUUACACUUCUCAUAUCACAACGAACAGAGCCAGAGAAGAAGAGGCAAAGCGAGAGGGUCGACUCCGCCCAAAAUCUGUCUGCGCAGAUUAAGCAGACCAACAGUGGAGAGCAGGCGCAGCAAUGGAUCCCCCACAGAGGAGGGCUGUGCCCAAGCAGAGGAGAGAAGGCACGACAUCAAACAGUUCCCCAACUGAGGCAGGCAAGUCCCCCAGUGCAGGAACCAGAGGAGGGCCCAGGUCAUACCCCGGAGCAGGCCUCGGCGGUAGAUCCAGAGCCAAGCCAGAUCAGGAGGCAGUGUUGUUGAGUCCAGGGCAGAUGGUGGACCAGCUCUGACCCCAGGUGCAGAAAUAGGUAGUGCCCCUGGGACAGGUCACUGGGGGGCAAGGUCUGGGUGGUCACCCCAGAUGAAGUCUGGCGUAUCCCCCACAGUCACGUCGGGGGUUGUGUCCUGUGUACGCUGGUCAGGGUCAUCCUGGAUACCCCGAACAGGACCCAGGGCUGUUGCUGUGUCCUGUGACGGGCCCAUGUCAAGUCUAAACCGGU
Molecule: long non-coding RNA, 1556 nt
Organism: Oncorhynchus masou masou (cherry salmon)
Lineage: Eukaryota; Metazoa; Chordata; Actinopteri; Salmoniformes; Salmonidae
Exons: 3
Source: RefSeq, a predicted model, not a curated record